This 1222-nucleotide long non-coding RNA is filed under the name Brassica napus (rape). RNAcentral describes it as "long non-coding RNA (BNAP_LNC006536)". Lineage: Eukaryota; Viridiplantae; Streptophyta; Magnoliopsida; Brassicales; Brassicaceae. The record is from RNAcentral.
AAAACAUUUACAUGGAUACUUUUUACAAACAUUUACAUGGACACUUUUUACAAACAUCCAAUUUAAACAUCACAUUCCAACCAAUCAACGAUCUUUAUAAUUCACAAAGACAUGCAUCUGCAUUCAAAAUUACAAAUUCUUACACUUUCAGCAUGCGACCUAGUGCAAGAACAACCAAAGUCAUUGUUCGAUCACUAGCUAUCUCAUUAGUUUGAAAGCAGCUUGUCUCACUAUCUUAGCUCCAACGUUCUCAGUUUGAAAAAACUCUCUAUCACUUUAUAUUAAUUUUGCAGCUUAGUCUCUUACGGGAUUUAGGUGUACACAUGGUUUUUUGUACACAUGGAUAAUGUAAAUUCAGCGUGCAUGUGGACACACAUGAACAAUAGAAAAAUGCAGUUUUGUGGAUUCAAAUAUGUCUAACGCAUGACUGUCUACUUAUCAUUUAUGAUUCCAAUAUGUUUGUUCAUUGCAUAUCGUAAAGGAUACAAAUGCAAAUUUGAAAGUUUUUGGGUUCAAAAACAAAAUGCUGCAACAAUUUAGGGGUCAAAUGUUCAAAAAAAAAACAAGAUUCUCCAUCAAACAAGAGCUAAAUUGUAUAUUCGAAAAUCUAGGGUCAAUUAGAUAGGAUGUAUAUGCAAAUCAGAGUGUUUGGGACAAAAUCAAAUUUAACCUAAAAAUAACGGAAUUAUGCAAUUAUGAGAGAGUAGACCAUUGUUGAUUGAGCUUUCUCUUUGUGAAUGCGAGUGGAGCUUGACGGCGACGACGAGUGUAGCGGCUCAGGCAGGUGGUCUGCGGUUUGAUACUACAGACAAAGAUGCUCGUUAUGGUUUGAGAUUGUGAGUCAAUCAAAAUUUCCGGAAUAAAACAGUCACGAUUCUCGCUGGUGGUGGUCCUGGUGGAUGAAUUUCUUGAUUUUCAUAUUCUGUUCCAUGGUGGAUGUCGGGUCUUAUGCAUCGUCUUUGCCGUCGAAAUUGCUCCACCGUCGUCUAUGUCUUUGUUGUUGCUACACCAAAGUUGAUAAUGUCUCUGCCGUUGAUGGCGUUUUCGUAUAUGCCAUUAUUAAACCAUCAUCGGAGAUGCACCUUGACCUAUUUUAAAAGAUAGAUUGAGCAACAGAGACAAUAAUUACAUGCAAGUUCUUUUGAAAAAAUAAUCUGAAAAAUCAGAUUCCAAUUUCGAAAAGAAAAUAGAAUGGUUGGGAAAAAGAAGACGAGGAAGAAAG